This 301-nucleotide ribosomal RNA is filed under the name uncultured bacterium. Its description in RNAcentral is "partial 16S ribosomal RNA". It matches the Rfam family "Bacterial small subunit ribosomal RNA", at positions 509 to 807 of the family's 1533-position model. The record is from RNAcentral.
CAGCAGCCGCGGUAAUACGUAGGGUGCAAGCGUUAAUCGGAAUUACUGGGUGUAAAGCGUGCGCAGGCGGUGUUGUAAGACUGAUGUGAAAUCCCCGGGCUCAACCUGGGAACUGCAUUGGUGACUGCAACGCUGGAGUGCGGCAGAGGGGGAUGGAAUUCCGCGUGUAGCAGUGAAAUGCGUAGAUAUGCGGAGGAACACCGAUGGCGAAGGCAAUCCCCUGGGCCUGCACUGACGCUCAUGCACGAAAGCGUGGGGAGCAAACAGGAUUAGAUACCCCCGUAGUCCCUGUCUCUUAUAC